CACUUUUCAUAAUGAUAUAACCUUUAUGAAAUACAGAUUAAGACUUCUUUGGAAUUUCAUUGAAAUUCCUACGCAAUCCAAAGAUACUAUAAGACAAAUUAUGGAGUACUUUGUUGAAUGGUAAAGCCUGAUGGCUUUAGGAUGAUGGCUUUAGGAUUCAGACUUUGUGUAUGGAGGGUCCCAUGGUCAUGAGCACAGUUGUGGCUUCUGGAAACUGAAACUUUUGGGAAUCUUUGCAAAGGCCUCUGAAAUUGACAGAUCCGUUUUAAGAACAAGGGUUAGGUAAAUGUCUUGUCACCAUAGGCCUCCAAACAAUUCCAAUCUAGGUGUGCAGGCCCUCGUCCUGUACCAUAAUUCUGAGUUUGUUCCUCGAUUUGUCACGUCUGUCAAUGUGUCACACAGAGAUAGCUUCAGCAGUGCUUGGGCAUUUGUUUUCGUCAAAAAUUCGGCUAUUCAUC
Molecule: non-coding RNA, 458 nt
Organism: Pelobates cultripes (western spadefoot toad)
Lineage: Eukaryota; Metazoa; Chordata; Amphibia; Anura; Pelobatidae
Source: the annotation of a GenBank genome assembly